This 204-nucleotide long non-coding RNA is filed under the name Trifolium pratense (red clover). RNAcentral describes it as "long non-coding RNA (TPRA_LNC005694)". The record is from RNAcentral. Lineage: Eukaryota; Viridiplantae; Streptophyta; Magnoliopsida; Fabales; Fabaceae.
UCAAACUUUCAAUUUCAUAUCAUCGUACGUUCUACAACAAUAACUCUUUAGUUUCACCUUCUUGCAUAGCUAAACAACACCAACACAGCACAAAAUCAAAUUCAUGAUGAGAAGCGUCACACAACUUAAUCAUGUUUGUUUCGCAUUUGCAGACGAAACUUAUGCAUCAGAUAUGUUUCAAAUGCACUCAACUCAACCUGAGGU